UCGGGAAGUAGCUCAGCUUGGUAGAGCACUUGGUUUGGGAUCAAGGGGUCGCAGGUUCGAAUCCUGUCUUCCCGAU
Molecule: transfer RNA, 76 nt
Filed under: Streptococcus gallolyticus
Lineage: Bacteria; Bacillati; Bacillota; Bacilli; Lactobacillales; Streptococcaceae
Description: tRNA-Pro(tgg)
Rfam family: tRNA
About the family: Transfer RNA (tRNA) molecules are approximately 80 nucleotides in length. Their secondary structure includes four short double-helical elements and three loops (D, anti-codon, and T loops). Further hydrogen bonds mediate the characteristic L-shaped molecular structure. tRNAs have two regions of fundamental functional importance: the anti-codon, which is responsible for specific mRNA codon recognition, and the 3' end, to which the tRNAs corresponding amino acid is attached (by aminoacyl-tRNA synthetases). tRNAs cope with the degeneracy of the genetic code in two manners: having more than one tRNA (with a specific anti-codon) for a particular amino acid; and 'wobble' base-pairing, i.e. permitting non-standard base-pairing at the 3rd anti-codon position.
Source: RNAcentral